RNAcentral lists this ribosomal RNA (452 nucleotides) under uncultured bacterium. RNAcentral describes it as "bacterial SSU rRNA". It matches the Rfam family "Bacterial small subunit ribosomal RNA", at positions 340 to 786 of the family's 1533-position model. The record is from RNAcentral.
UACGGGAGGCAGCAGUGGGGAAUAUUGCACAAUGGGCGCAAGCCUGAUGCAGCCAUGCCGCGUGUAUGAAGAAGGCCUUCGGGUUGUAAAGUACUUUCAGUCGUGAGGAAGGUGUUAAGGUUAAUAACCUUAGCAAUUGACGUUAGCGACAGAAGAAGCACCGGCUAACUCCGUGCCAGCAGCCGCGGUAAUACGGAGGGUGCGAGCGUUAAUCGGAAUUACUGGGCGUAAAGGGCACGCAGGCGGUUAAUUAAGUUGGAUGUGAAUCCCCGGGCUUAACCUGGGAAUGGCAUUCAAGACUGGUUAGCUAGAGUCUUGUAGAGGGGGUAGAAUUCCAUGUGUAGCGGUGAAAUGCGUAGAGAUGUGGAGGAAUACCGGUGGCGAAGGCGGCCCCUGGACAAAGACUGACGCUCAUGUGCGAAAGCGUGGGGAGCAAACGAGGAUUAGAUACC